CGUGUGUAGGUGGCUUGUUAAGUUGAAUGUUAAAUCUACGGGCUCAACUCGUGGGCUGCAUUCAAUACUGGCAGGCUUGAGGAUGGAAGAGGUAAGCGGAACUUGUGGUGGAGCGGUGAAAUGCGUAGAUAUCACAAAGAACACCAAUGGCGAAGGCAGCUUACUGGGCCACUCCUGACACUGAGACACGAAAGCGUGGGGAGCGAACAGGAUUAGAUACCCUGGUAGUCCACGCCGUAAACGAUGAUCACUAGCUGUUCGAGGUGUCGACCCCUUGAGUAGCGAAGCUAACGCGUUAAGUGAUCCGCCUGGGGAGUACGGUCGCAAGACUAAAACUCAAAGGAAUUGACGGGGACCCGCACAAGCGGUGGAACGUGUGGUUUAAUUCGACGCUAAGCGAAAAACCUUACCGAGGCUUGACAUCUCUGGAAGGCCCUAGAAAUAGGGCUGUGCCGAAAGGAACCAGAUGACAGGUGCUGCAUGGCUGCCGUCAGCUCGUGUUGUGAAAUGUUCGGUUAAGUCCGUCAACGAGCGCAACCCUCAUUGCAUGUUGUAUUUCUCAUGCAAGACUGCCCUGGUUAACAGGGAGGAAGGUGGGGAUGACGUCAAGUCAGCAUG
This 618-nucleotide ribosomal RNA is filed under the name uncultured bacterium. RNAcentral describes it as "bacterial SSU rRNA". It matches the Rfam family "Bacterial small subunit ribosomal RNA", at positions 566 to 1197 of the family's 1533-position model. The record is from RNAcentral.